This 273-nucleotide unclassified non-coding RNA is filed under the name Hevea brasiliensis (rubber tree). The record is from RNAcentral. Lineage: Eukaryota; Viridiplantae; Streptophyta; Magnoliopsida; Malpighiales; Euphorbiaceae.
UCUUCUUUUUUUUUUUUUUUCCCUUUCUUCUAUUUUCUCCUACUCAUAAUAAUCUGUUUCAGACAAAGUGUUAUCUGUCGAAGAGGUUUGGUCUCUUUUGAGAAUUAGAUGCUGACUUUUACCUGCUGUUUUUAGCUUAAUUGGGUUUUCAGGAUUUUGAAAUUGAUAUCUGCUGUAUUGAGCCUCAGUUAAUAAUUUUUGCUUUUAAUGUAUAUUAAGACAAACUGGAAUUAGACCUGUUUUGCUCAUGCAGGUAUAAUGCUGUAAUGCAGA